Molecule: ribosomal RNA, 83 nt
Filed under: Schistosoma margrebowiei
Lineage: Eukaryota; Metazoa; Platyhelminthes; Trematoda; Strigeidida; Schistosomatidae
Source: RNAcentral
ACCGGCGACCAUACCACGUCGAAAGCACCGGUUCUCGUCCGAUCACCGCAGUUAAGCAACGUUGGGCCUGGUCAGUACUUGCU